CCUUUGUGUUUCGGAUGGCUCUGAGG
Molecule: non-coding RNA, 26 nt
Filed under: Homo sapiens (human)
Lineage: Eukaryota; Metazoa; Chordata; Mammalia; Primates; Hominidae
Source: RNAcentral